This 405-nucleotide ribosomal RNA is filed under the name uncultured Leptotrichiaceae bacterium. RNAcentral describes it as "bacterial SSU rRNA". It matches the Rfam family "Bacterial small subunit ribosomal RNA", at positions 355 to 774 of the family's 1533-position model. Lineage: Bacteria; Fusobacteriati; Fusobacteriota; Fusobacteriia; Fusobacteriales; Leptotrichiaceae. The record is from RNAcentral.
UGGGGAAUAUUGGACAAUGGAGGUAACUCUGAUCCAGCAAUUCUGUGUGUGCGAAGACGGUCUUCGGAUUGUAAAGCACUUUUAGUUGGGAAGAAGAAGAUGACGGUACCAACAGAAGAAGCGACGGCUAAAUACGUGCCAGCAGCCGCGGUAAUACGUAUGUCGCUAGCGUUAUCCGGAAUUAUUGGGCUUAAAGGGCAUCUAGGCGGCAAUACAAGUUGAAGGUGAAAAGCUGUGGCUCAACCAUAGUCUUGCCUACAAAACUGUAAUGCUAGAGUACUGGAAAGGUGGGUGGAACUACACGAGUAGAGGUGAAAUUCGUAGAUAUGUGUAGGAAUGCCGAUGAUGAAGAUAACUCACUGGACAGCAACUGACGCUGAAGUGCGAAAGCUAGGGGAGCAAACA